CCUGUGGUCCUACUGUGGCCGGUGCCUGGUCCUGCUACCAUGUCCACCAGCCCCAGAACCCACAUCUGAUUGGCUUUGUUGCCAUGCAAGUACUGGCUGCUCCCUGAUGGCCAGGCAGACCCAGCAGCCGCCGAGGGGCCAGUGAAGAGGAAGGCCGCAUCUGUUGUGUGGUGGUCACAAGCACUCGGGCGUCUGAGUUUACUGGUGCAUGGCUGGGAGGAGCGUUAUGAGAUGAACGUUGGCUAUCAGUCUCCGUGGGCAGGCGGCUUGGCCUCGAGUGGGAAUGGCUGGGAUUUGGGUGUUGCCUUUAGGAGGGAUACCUGCAUGUCUAGUUCCAGUCUGCACUGGGAAGAAUUCAAAUAUGCACCUGGCUCCCUUCACUAUUUUGCUCUAUCCUUUGUGCUCAUUCUUACUGAAAUCUGUCUUGUCAGCUCAGGAAUGGGAAUCCCCAGGGAAGGAAAGCAUUUUUCUGUUCUGGGAGGCCCAGACUGUUCACUUUGGGGCAGGGCCAAACAUGUGCCUCGUGAAUUUGCUUGGAAACCAUCACCGUCUUCUACCCUCAUCACUGUAUAGUGCAAAACUUGAUUAAAGUGGUAUCUGAGAACCAUAAUGAUCG
Non-coding RNA from Saimiri boliviensis boliviensis (Bolivian squirrel monkey), 616 nucleotides. The record is from RefSeq and is a predicted model, not a curated record. NCBI's taxonomy places the organism in Eukaryota, Metazoa, Chordata, Mammalia, Primates, Cebidae.